UCCCUGGUGGCUCAGAUGGCUAAAGCAUCUGCCUGCAAUACGGGAGACCCAGGUUCGACCCCUGGGUUGGGAA
This 73-nucleotide transfer RNA is filed under the name Capra hircus (goat). It matches the Rfam family "tRNA". Rfam says of the family: Transfer RNA (tRNA) molecules are approximately 80 nucleotides in length. Their secondary structure includes four short double-helical elements and three loops (D, anti-codon, and T loops). Further hydrogen bonds mediate the characteristic L-shaped molecular structure. tRNAs have two regions of fundamental functional importance: the anti-codon, which is responsible for specific mRNA codon recognition, and the 3' end, to which the tRNAs corresponding amino acid is attached (by aminoacyl-tRNA synthetases). tRNAs cope with the degeneracy of the genetic code in two manners: having more than one tRNA (with a specific anti-codon) for a particular amino acid; and 'wobble' base-pairing, i.e. permitting non-standard base-pairing at the 3rd anti-codon position. Lineage: Eukaryota; Metazoa; Chordata; Mammalia; Artiodactyla; Bovidae. RNAcentral also lists the same sequence under 1 other name. The record is from Rfam by way of RNAcentral.